Molecule: ribosomal RNA, 446 nt
Filed under: uncultured bacterium
Lineage: Bacteria
Description: partial 16S ribosomal RNA
Rfam family: Bacterial small subunit ribosomal RNA
Source: RNAcentral
CCUACGGGUGGCAGCAGUCGAGAAUCAUUCACAAUGGGGGAAACCCUGAUGGUGCGACGCCGCGUGGGGGAAUGAAGGUCUUCGGAUUGUAAACCCCUGUCAUGUGGGAGCAAAUUAAAAAGAUAGUACCACAAGAGGAAGAGACGGCUAACUCUGUGCCAGCAGCCGCGGUAAUACAGAGGCCUCAAGCGUGGUUCGGAAUCACUGGGCGUAAGGCGUGCGUAGGCUGUUUCGUAAGUCGGGUGUGAAAGGCGCGGGCUCAACCCGCGGACGGCACAUGAUACUGCGAGACUAGAGUAAUGGAGGGGGAACCGGAAUUCUCGGUGUAGCAGUGAAAUGCGUAGAUAUCGAGAGGAACACUCGUGGCGAAGGCGGGUUCCUGGACAUUAACUGACGCUGAGGCACGAAGGCCAGGGGAGCGAAAGGGAUUAGAUACCCGAAUAGUC